RNAcentral lists this non-coding RNA (27 nucleotides) under Homo sapiens (human). Lineage: Eukaryota; Metazoa; Chordata; Mammalia; Primates; Hominidae. The record is from RNAcentral.
CAAUUAGUAAAGAAGGACCCAUCGGAU